GGCCCACUGGCUCAGUUGGUUAGAGCGCCGCCCUGUCACGGCGGAGGUCAUCGGUUCAAGUCCGUUGUGGGUCGCUA
Molecule: transfer RNA, 77 nt
Filed under: Lachnospiraceae bacterium
Lineage: Bacteria; Bacillati; Bacillota; Clostridia; Lachnospirales; Lachnospiraceae
Description: tRNA-Asp
Rfam family: tRNA
About the family: Transfer RNA (tRNA) molecules are approximately 80 nucleotides in length. Their secondary structure includes four short double-helical elements and three loops (D, anti-codon, and T loops).
Source: RNAcentral